UGCGUAGGCGGGAGAUUAAGUCAGUGGUGAAAUCCUGCAGCUUAACUGUAGAACUGCCAUUGAUACUGGUUUCCUUGAGUAUAGUUGAAGUGGGCGGAAUGUGUAUUGUAGCGGUGAAAUGCUUAGAUAUUACACAGAACACCUAUUGCGAAGGCAGCUCACUAAACUAAUACUGACGCUGAGGUACGAAAGCGUGGGGAGCGAACAGGAUUAGAUACCCUGGUAGUCC
RNAcentral lists this ribosomal RNA (229 nucleotides) under uncultured bacterium. RNAcentral's name for it is "partial 16S ribosomal RNA". It matches the Rfam family "Bacterial small subunit ribosomal RNA", at positions 568 to 796 of the family's 1533-position model. The record is from RNAcentral.